UCUUAUCAAGAGAGGCGGAGGGAAUGGCCCUAUGAUGCCCGGCAACCAGUUCAUUUGAACAAUGGUGCUAAAUCCACAGUUUACACAUGGUGUAAGACUGAAAGAUGAGA
This 110-nucleotide non-coding RNA is filed under the name zebrafish metagenome. Its description in RNAcentral is "SAM riboswitch (S box leader)". It matches the Rfam family "SAM riboswitch aptamer (S box leader)". From Rfam's summary of the family: The SAM riboswitch is found upstream of a number of genes which code for proteins involved in methionine or cysteine biosynthesis in Gram-positive bacteria. The SAM riboswitch acts at the level of transcription termination control. The record is from RNAcentral.